CCAUUUAAGUGAGAAAUUGUUUAUUUUAUAAAUUCCUUUUUCCUUAUUCUUUUUUUUAUUUUCCCCGCUGAUUCCUUUCUCCCUGCCGAACUCGCGCCGACGCCAAGCUUCUCCCGAGCCCUAACCGAGCGGUUCCUUCUCCCUCUCCGCGUACAAAACCUCCCAGCCAAGGGCUUCGCCUUCUUCUUCCUUCCCGAGCGCGCACGCCCUUCUCUUCAUCUUCUGCCGACGACCUCUGUGCCCUAGCUUCUCCGCCGUCUGUCGCCGUCGAACGGAGAAGUGUCGAUUCCUCUCAGCCAUCUCUUUGCCCUAACCAGCGCCGCAGCAAACCGCCGUUGCCUCCCUUGCCCCUAUUGCACCUUUUGGUCGCCACAGCCGACGCCGACGGACUAGGGCAACGCUGUGCCCUAGAUUUGCAGCGCCGCCGUCCCAUUCUGCUCUAGCCAUCAUCGACACUGCUCUCCUGCAGUGUCCUUCGCUCGCCACUGCCCUUGUGAUCUAGCGUAGUCGUGAGUGCCAGCAACCACCUUGUUAACGGCUUGAGUUUCUGGCAUUAGGGCUUCCAGUGGCAGCUUUGUUCGGUUUUUGGUCAUUUCAGGCAGUAAAGGAAGAGUGAAGAAUUCCAGCAGCCAACAACCCUUAACGGCAGCCCUCAUUCCAGCAUUCCUUUGUUCCAGCAGCAAUCAACCUAAAUGGGGCAGUAACUCUUCAAUUCCAGCAUCUUCUUGUUCUUGAAUAAAGCUGUGGAACUUGAGGACUUUGACGCGAAACGAGUAUCUCGGAGUCGGUAUUGGACCUUUCUUUUAUCGGAGG
Zingiber officinale is the source of this 813-nucleotide long non-coding RNA. RefSeq lists it as uncharacterized. The record is from RefSeq and is a predicted model, not a curated record. NCBI's taxonomy places the organism in Eukaryota, Viridiplantae, Streptophyta, Magnoliopsida, Zingiberales, Zingiberaceae. The transcript is spliced from 3 exons.